GUACAGUAAUUUUCCUUAGACUUCACUUCACUGAUCCCUUCGGCGUGACUCACUCAGGGAAACUGGAUUUCAGCAGCUUAAAAAGUAAGGAAGCAGCACACAGGACAGUUUGCAAACAACAACAACAACAACAACAACAAUCAUGCCUAAGUUCCCAAACCCAAAUUCCAUUCCCAACCCCAAAAAAUGACUUUGAUUUGAGUAUCAGGGCCUUGUUCAAAGACCUCCGGUUCAGGUGACUCUCCAGAGGGUCCAGACCUUCAGCCUGAGCGGACUGCGGACUGCGGACUGAAGGUCUGAAGGGAAGCGCAGAAGACGAAAUGAAUCCUUUUGGCCACAAGGUGGCAGAGUAAAGCACUGGCUGAACCAAACAGCCAUAGAUAUGAAUGAGUAGAUACGACACGCCCCUUUGAGCCGCGUGCCGACCGCGAGGCUAAGCUAGUGGGGGCAAAUUGUCAGAGCUUUCAAUGGAUGUGGACGGAGCGGAAGUCCAAAAACAAGGAUGCCCGUUCGUUGUGUUGCUUACGGUUGCACACAACGAAACUUGGAAUAACCUUUCAUAGGCUUCCCAGGGACUAUGACAAACGCAGAAAGUGGGAAAUAGCUCUGAGGAGAGAGGGUUUUGCUGCCAGAGACGAGUCUGUUGUGCAGUAAACAUUUCAAACCAGAUGAGUUGGACAGGACUGGACAGAUUUGCAUGAUCAAACCGUCUGUGUUUGACUUCCCGGCUCAUCUCGGAAAAGUAAGUGCAUCAUUUACAAAGAUGCAGCAGCUCAUUAUUUUCAUGACAAUUUACACUUUUUCUGUUUCUUUAAAGAUGACCUACUGCACACUCUUUUCCACCAUACCUGUGUUUGUAGCCCAAAGCCACAGGAAGCCCAGUUUGGCAUAGAGAACCAGCAGUCACUCUUGAUGGCUUCAGUGUUUUUAAAAAUAAGGCUGCACCACAUCGCCAGACUCGCUUCCCCUGAUUUACAAGGUGGAAGUACAAGGAAAAGGUCAUGCAAAACGCUCCUCUUUCAGGGUUUCCAGCCAGGAGGUCCAAUAAGUCAAAGGUGAAGUGUUUAUGGUCUUAAAAUUUCAAUGUAGUUGUUUGUAACUUGUAUAAUUGUUAAUAAAUUCUACUCUGUUUUAUCUCCA
This is a long non-coding RNA of Scatophagus argus, 1140 nucleotides long. RefSeq lists it as uncharacterized. The record is from RefSeq and is a predicted model, not a curated record. NCBI's taxonomy places the organism in Eukaryota, Metazoa, Chordata, Actinopteri, Scatophagidae. The transcript has 2 exons.